CCGGCGGCUGGCGGGGCCCCGGCGACGUCGGCGACGUCGCGGUGCUGGAGCUGGAGGAGCCCGUCCCGUUCGAGCCGGCGGCACUGGCC
Molecule: transfer RNA, 89 nt
Filed under: Actinomadura sp. RB99
Lineage: Bacteria; Bacillati; Actinomycetota; Actinomycetes; Streptosporangiales; Thermomonosporaceae
Description: tRNA-Ala
Source: RNAcentral